UGCGUAGGUGGUGAGGUAAGUCGGAUGUGAAAGCUCGGAGCUCGACUCCGAAAUGGCAUUGGAAACUACCUUGCUCGAGGGUUGGAGGGGGGACUGGAAUACUUGGUGUAGCAGUGAAAUGCGUAGAUAUCAAGUGGAACACCAGUGGCGAAGGCGAGUCCCUGGACAACUCCUGACACUGAGGCACGAAAGCUAGGGGAGCAAACA
This 207-nucleotide ribosomal RNA is filed under the name uncultured bacterium. Its description in RNAcentral is "partial 16S ribosomal RNA". It matches the Rfam family "Bacterial small subunit ribosomal RNA", at positions 568 to 774 of the family's 1533-position model. The record is from RNAcentral.